CCUACGGGAGGCAGCAGUGGGGAAUAUUGGACAAUGGGCGCAAGCCUGAUCCAGCCAUGCCGCGUGAGUGAUGAAGGCCUUAGGGUUGUAAAGCUCUUUUGUCCGGGACGAUAAUGACGGUACCGGAAGAAUAAGCCCCGGCUAACUUCGUGCCAGCAGCCGCGGUAAUACGUAGGUGCCAGCAGCCGCGGUAAUACGUAGGUGCCAGC
Molecule: ribosomal RNA, 209 nt
Filed under: uncultured Methylobacterium sp.
Lineage: Bacteria; Pseudomonadati; Pseudomonadota; Alphaproteobacteria; Hyphomicrobiales; Methylobacteriaceae
Description: partial 16S ribosomal RNA
Rfam family: Bacterial small subunit ribosomal RNA (bases 1-183)
Source: RNAcentral